This 586-nucleotide ribosomal RNA is filed under the name Conopora laevis. RNAcentral's name for it is "partial 16S large subunit ribosomal RNA". It matches the Rfam family "Bacterial large subunit ribosomal RNA", at positions 1820 to 2594 of the family's 2925-position model. The record is from RNAcentral. Lineage: Eukaryota; Metazoa; Cnidaria; Hydrozoa; Anthoathecata; Stylasteridae.
CCURGAAAAAUCUGAAGGUGCCACCUGCCCAAUGAUUUUAAAACUUAAUAUAAACAUUUUUUAUAAAAAAUUAAAAGGACGCAGUAAUUUGACUGUGAUAAAGUAGCAUAAUCACUCGCCAUUUAAUUGGUGGAUAGUAUGAAUGGUUAAACGAGUCCUUCACUAUCUAAAAAAGAGAAAUCAUGAAAUUAAAACAAUAGUUAAGAUUCUAUUUAAGAUUGUAAGACGAAAAGACCCUAUAGAGCUUAACUACACUUUUCCUUUAAUUACAAAAUUUAHUUUAUAAAACAGGAAAAGAGGUAGUUUAGUUGGGGCGACUGCCUUCUAAAAAUAACGAAGGCAAGCUAAGUUAAUAAAAAACUUACUGUACAACCUAUAAAUUUAACAGUUACGACCGUAGGCUAUAAUGACCCGUUAAAACUUAGUAAUAAGGUUAACGAUUAAUAAAUAAAAGUUACCUUAGGGAUAACAGGACAAUUUUGUUCUAGAGAUCACAUCGAAAACAAAGUUUAUCACCUCUAUGUUGAAUUAAGAUAACCAAAUAGUGCAGAAGCUAUUAAAGGUAGGUCUGKUCCACCYUUAAAAU